RNAcentral lists this ribosomal RNA (460 nucleotides) under uncultured Longilinea sp. RNAcentral's name for it is "bacterial SSU rRNA". It matches the Rfam family "Bacterial small subunit ribosomal RNA", at positions 919 to 1382 of the family's 1533-position model. Lineage: Bacteria; Bacillati; Chloroflexota; Anaerolineae; Anaerolineales; Anaerolineaceae. The record is from RNAcentral.
ACCCGCACAAGCAGCGGAGCGUGUGGUUUAAUUCGAGGCUACACGAAGAACCUUACCUGGGUUUGACAUGCUAGUGGUAGCGACGCGAAAGCCGAGCGACCUUCGGGAGCUAGCACAGGUGCUGCAUGGUUGUCGUCAGCUCGUGUCGUGAGAUGUUGGGUUAAGUCCCGCAACGAGCGCAACCCUUGUCAUUAGUUGCUACAUUCAGUUGGGCACUCUAAUGAGACUGCCGGUGACAAACCGGAGGAAGGUGGGGAUGACGUCAAGUCCUCAUGGCCCUUAUGGUAGGGCUUCACACGUCAUACAAUGGUCGGUACAGAGGGUUGCCAACCCGCGAGGGGGAGCUAAUCCCACAAAGCCGAUCGUAGUCCGGAUCGCAGUCUGCAACUCGACUGCGUGAAGUCGGAAUCGCUAGUAAUCGUGGAUCAGCAUGUCACGGUGAAUACGUUCCCGGGUCCUU